AGUGGGAUAACUGGAUCAAAUUGUGAUUCCAGUCCUAGUUUUUUUUUUUUGAGGAAUUUUCAUACUGCUUUCCAUAAUGGUUGUACUAAUUUGCAGUUCCAUCAGCAAU
Molecule: microRNA precursor, 109 nt
Filed under: Marmota monax (woodchuck)
Lineage: Eukaryota; Metazoa; Chordata; Mammalia; Rodentia; Sciuridae
Source: RNAcentral